UAUCCCAUUUUAGUACCGUCCAUUCGCAUCACAAUGAAUGGGCGGCUAUGCAAAUGGGGCAGAGAAACACUGUCAUGGUCUGAAGGUGUGGUUGCAGAUUGUUCGUGCGCCCCACUCAAUAAAUUGACAGAACAUGUAUCU
Molecule: small nucleolar RNA, 141 nt
Organism: Cololabis saira (Pacific saury)
Lineage: Eukaryota; Metazoa; Chordata; Actinopteri; Beloniformes; Belonidae
Product: small nucleolar RNA SNORA29
Exons: 1
Source: RefSeq, a predicted model, not a curated record